This 500-nucleotide ribosomal RNA is filed under the name Peribacillus simplex. RNAcentral describes it as "bacterial SSU rRNA". It matches the Rfam family "Bacterial small subunit ribosomal RNA", at positions 61 to 544 of the family's 1533-position model. Lineage: Bacteria; Bacillati; Bacillota; Bacilli; Caryophanales; Bacillaceae. The record is from RNAcentral.
GUCGAGCGAAUCGAUGGGAGCUUGCUCCCUGAGAUUAGCGGCGGACGGGUGAGUAACAUUUGGGCAACCUGCCUAUAAGACUGGGAUAACUUCGGGAAACCGGAGCUAAUACCGGAUACGUUCUUUUCUCGCAUGAGAGAAGAUGGAAAGACGGUUUACGCUGUCACUUAUAGAUGGGCCCGCGGCGCAUUAGCUAGUUGGUGAGGUAAUGGCUCACCAAGGCGACGAUGCGUAGCCGACCUGAGAGGGUGAUCGGCCACACUGGGACUGAGACACGGCCCAGACUCCUACGGGAGGCAGCAGUAGGGAAUCUUCCGCAAUGGACGAAAGUCUGACGGAGCAACGCCGCGUGAACGAAGAAGGCCUUCGGGUCGUAAAGUUCUGUUGUUAGGGAAGAACAAGUACCAGAGUAACUGCUGGUACCUUGACGGUACCUAACCAGAAAGCCACGGCUAACUACGUGCCAGCAGCCGCGGUAAUACGUAGGUGGCAAGCGUUGU